This 2318-nucleotide ribosomal RNA is filed under the name Escherichia coli. Its description in RNAcentral is "partial 23S ribosomal RNA". It matches the Rfam family "Bacterial large subunit ribosomal RNA", at positions 375 to 2681 of the family's 2925-position model. The record is from RNAcentral. Lineage: Bacteria; Pseudomonadati; Pseudomonadota; Gammaproteobacteria; Enterobacterales; Enterobacteriaceae.
GUACACAAAAAUGCACAUAUUGUGAGCUCGAUGAGUAGGGCGGGACACGUGGUAUCCUGUCUGAAUAUGGGGGGACCAUCCUCCAAGGCUAAAUACUCCUGACUGACCGAUAGUGAACCAGUACCGUGAGGGAAAGGCGAAAAGAACCCCGGCGAGGGGAGUGAAAAAGAACCUGAAACCGUGUACGUACAAGCAGUGGGAGCCUCUUUAUGGGGUGACUGCGUACCUUUUGUAUAAUGGGUCAGCGACUUAUAUUCUGUAGCAAGGUUAACCGAAUAGGGGAGCCGAAGGGAAACCGAGUCUUAACUGGGCGUUAAGUUGCAGGGUAUAGACCCGAAACCCGGUGAUCUAGCCAUGGGCAGGUUGAAGGUUGGGUAACACUAACUGGAGGACCGAACCGACUAAUGUUGAAAAAUUAGCGGAUGACUUGUGGCUGGGGGUGAAAGGCCAAUCAAACCGGGAGAUAGCUGGUUCUCCCCGAAAGCUAUUUAGGUAGCGCCUCGUGAAUUCAUCUCCGGGGGUAGAGCACUGUUUCGGCAAGGGGGUCAUCCCGACUUACCAACCCGAUGCAAACUGCGAAUACCGGAGAAUGUUAUCACGGGAGACACACGGCGGGUGCUAACGUCCGUCGUGAAGAGGGAAACAACCCAGACCGCCAGCUAAGGUCCCAAAGUCAUGGUUAAGUGGGAAACGAUGUGGGAAGGCCCAGACAGCCAGGAUGUUGGCUUAGAAGCAGCCAUCAUUUAAAGAAAGCGUAAUAGCUCACUGGUCGAGUCGGCCUGCGCGGAAGAUGUAACGGGGCUAAACCAUGCACCGAAGCUGCGGCAGCGACACUAUGUGUUGUUGGGUAGGGGAGCGUUCUGUAAGCCUGUGAAGGUGGCCUGUGAGGGUUGCUGGAGGUAUCAGAAGUGCGAAUGCUGACAUAAGUAACGAUAAAGCGGGUGAAAAGCCCGCUCGCCGGAAGACCAAGGGUUCCUGUCCAACGUUAAUCGGGGCAGGGUGAGUCGACCCCUAAGGCGAGGCCGAAAGGCGUAGUCGAUGGGAAACAGGUUAAUAUUCCUGUACUUGGUGUUACUGCGAAGGGGGGACGGAGAAGGCUAUGUUGGCCGGGCGACGGUUGUCCCGGUUUAAGCGUGUAGGCUGGUUUUCCAGGCAAAUCCGGAAAACCAAGGCUGAGGCGUGAUGACGAGGCACUACGGUGCUGAAGCGACAAAUGCCCUGCUUCCAGGAAAAGCCUCUAAGCAUCAGGUAACAUCAAAUCGUACCCCAAACCGACACAGGUGGUCAGGUAGAGAAUACCAAGGCGCUUGAGAGAACUCGGGUGAAGGAACUAGGCAAAAUGGUGCCGUAACUUCGGGAGAAGGCACGCUGAUAUGUAGGUGAAGCGACUUGCUCGUGGAGCUGAAAUCAGUCGAAGAUACCAGCUGGCUGCAACUGUUUAUUAAAAACACAGCACUGUGCAAACACGAAAGUGGACGUAUACGGUGUGACGCCUGCCCGGUGCCGGAAGGUUAAUUGAUGGGGUUAGCGGUAACGCGAAGCUCUUGAUCGAAGCCCCGGUAAACGGCGGCCGUAACUAUAACGGUCCUAAGGUAGCGAAAUUCCUUGUCGGGUAAGUUCCGACCUGCACGAAUGGCGUAAUGAUGGCCAGGCUGUCUCCACCCGAGACUCAGUGAAAUUGAACUCGCUGUGAAGAUGCAGUGUACCCGCGGCAAGACGGAAAGACCCCGUGAACCUUUACUAUAGCUUGACACUGAACAUUGAGCCUUGAUGUGUAGGAUAGGUGGGAGGCUUUGAAGUGUGGACGCCAGUCUGCAUGGAGCCGACCUUGAAAUACCACCCUUUAAUGUUUGAUGUUCUAACGUUGGCCCGUAAUCCGGGUUGCGGACAGUGUCUGGUGGGUAGUUUGACUGGGGCGGUCUCCUCCUAAAGAGUAACGGAGGAGCACGAAGGUUGGCUAAUCCUGGUCGGACAUCAGGAGGUUAGUGCAAUGGCAUAAGCCAGCUUGACUGCGAGCGUGACGGCGCGAGCAGGUGCGAAAGCAGGUCAUAGUGAUCCGGUGGUUCUGAAUGGAAGGGCCAUCGCUCAACGGAUAAAAGGUACUCCGGGGAUAACAGGCUGAUACCGCCCAAGAGUUCAUAUCGACGGCGGUGUUUGGCACCUCGAUGUCGGCUCAUCACAUCCUGGGGCUGAAGUAGGUCCCAAGGGUAUGGCUGUUCGCCAUUUAAAGUGGUACGCGAGCUGGGUUUAGAACGUCGUGAGACAGUUCGGUCCCUAUCUGCCGUGGGCGCUGGAGAACUGAGGGGGGCUGCUCCUAG